Small nucleolar RNA from Ostreococcus lucimarinus CCE9901, 80 nucleotides. It matches the Rfam family "small nucleolar RNA snoR117". The record is from Rfam. Lineage: Eukaryota; Viridiplantae; Chlorophyta; Mamiellophyceae; Mamiellales; Bathycoccaceae.
AGCCGAUGAUGAGACACACUUGUCCGUACCAUCUGAUUUCGGUGACGAUCAAACUUGUGAAUCUCGUUAAGCUGAGGCUU